Molecule: ribosomal RNA, 506 nt
Filed under: uncultured bacterium
Lineage: Bacteria
Description: bacterial SSU rRNA
Rfam family: Bacterial small subunit ribosomal RNA
Source: RNAcentral
UCAGGAUGAACGCUAGCUACAGGCUUAACACAUGCAAGUCGAGGGGCAGCAUGUUGGUUGCUUGCAACCAAUGAUGGCGACCGGCGCACGGGUGAGUAACGCGUAUCCAACCUUCCCCAUAGUAGAGGAUAGCCCGGCGAAAGUCGGAUUAAUACUCUAUGUUGUGUCAUGAGGACAUCUGAAUAACACCAAAGAUUUAUCGCUAUGGGAUGGGGAUGCGUCUGAUUAGCUUGUCGGCGGGGUAACGGCCCACCGAGGCAACGAUCAGUAGGGGUUCUGAGAGGAAGGUCCCCCACAUUGGUACUGAGACACGGACCAAACUCCUACGGGAGGCAGCAGUGAGGAAUAUUGGUCAAUGGACGAGAGUCUGAACCAGCCAAGUAGCGUGCAAGGAUGACUGCCCUAUGGGUUGUAAACUGCUUUUAUGCGGGAAUAAAGUCAGGUACGUGUACCUGUUUGUAUGUACCGCAUGAAUAAGGACCGGCUAAUUCCGUGCCAGCCGCAGC